This 745-nucleotide small RNA is filed under the name Lactobacillus acidophilus. RNAcentral's name for it is "bacterial LSU rRNA". The stretch from base 282 to 745 matches the Rfam family "Bacterial large subunit ribosomal RNA", at positions 1 to 470 of the family's 2925-position model. The record is from RNAcentral. Lineage: Bacteria; Bacillati; Bacillota; Bacilli; Lactobacillales; Lactobacillaceae.
CGUGAGGUCGAUGGUUCAAGUCCAUUUAGGCCCAUUGACAUAACGAAUAAAAAGAGUUAAAGUUAUGUCUGGCUUAAAAAAGAAUAACUUGGGGGCUUAGCUCAGUUGGGAGAGCACCUGCUUUGCACGCAGGAGGUCAUCGGUUCGAACCCGUUAGCCUCCAUUGAUUCCGAAAGGAAUCAGGAGUUAGUACAUUGAAAACUGAAUAUAAUCCAAGCAAAAAACCGAGACAAUCAAAGAGAACAGAUUGUAGAGCGACCGAGAAGAGAAUUCUUGGGUAAGGUCAAGUAGAAAAGGGCGCACGGUGAAUGCCUAGGCACUAACAGCCGAUGAAGGACGUGACGAACUACGAAAAGCUUCGGGGAGCGGUAAGUACGCAGUGAUCCGGAGAUGUCCGAAUGGGGGAACCCAAUGCAGCGAUGCAUUAUUGGUUGAUGAAUAGAUAGUCAAUCAAAGGAAGACGCAGUGAACUGAAACAUCUAAGUAGCUGCAGGAAGAGAAAGAAAAAUCGAUUUCCUUAGUAGCGGCGAGCGAAGAGGAAAGAGCCCAAACCAAGUGAUUUAUCAUUUGGGGUUGUAGGACUGCAAAGUGGUAGCGUAAGCGAUAGUUGAAUUAUCUGGGAAGGUAAGCCAGAGAGGGUGAGAGCCCCGUAAGCGAAAUUGCGAGCGCGCCUAGCAGAAUCCUGAGUAGGCCGGGACACGAGGAAUCCCGGUUGAAGCCGCGAGGACCAUCUCGCAAGGCUAAA